CCCUACGGGAGGCAGCAGUGGGGAAUUUUGGACAAUGGGGGCAACCCUGAUCCAGCCAUGCCGCGUGCGGGAAGAAGGCCUUCGGGUUGUAAACCGCUUUUAGCCGGGAAGAAAAGGCCACGGAUAACACCCGUGGUUUUUGACGGUACCGGCGGAAUAAGCACCGGCUAACUACGUGCCAGCAGCCGCGGUAAUACGUAGGGUGCGAGCGUUAAUCGGAAUUACUGGGCGUAAAGCGUGCGCAGGCGGUUCGUUGUGUCGGCGGUGAAAGCCCCGGGCUUAACCUGGGAAUGGCCGUUGAAACUGGCGAACUGGAGUGUGGCAGAGGGGGGUGGAAUUCCGCGUGUAGCAGUGAAAUGCGUAGAGAUGCGGAGGAACACCGAUGGCGAAGGCAGCCCCCUGGGCUAACACUGACGCUCAGGCACGAAAGCGUGGGGAGCAAACAGGCUUAGAUACCCCGGUAGC
RNAcentral lists this ribosomal RNA (465 nucleotides) under uncultured bacterium. Its description in RNAcentral is "bacterial SSU rRNA". It matches the Rfam family "Bacterial small subunit ribosomal RNA", at positions 337 to 794 of the family's 1533-position model. The record is from RNAcentral.